GAGUCUGGGGUAUCAAUGAUAGUUCCAAUCAAAGACAACAACAGUAAAAAUGCGUGGGUUUUCUUAAAGCCUCUGACAUGGGAUCUUUGGGUGACAAGCUUCUGUUUCUUCGUUUUCAUUGGAUUUGUGGUCUGGGUUCUUGAACACAGAGUAAAUGAAGACUUUAGAGGACCUCCUUCACAUCAAGUUGGCACUAGCUUCUGGUUUUCCUUCUCAACCAUGGUUUUUGCCCAUCGGGAAACCGUUGUCAGCAACCUGGCAAGAACAGUAGUAAUCAUAUGGUGUUUCGUAGUAUUGAUUCUCACACAAAGCUACACCGCCAGUUUAACCAGUCUUCUCACUGUCCAGCAGCUCCUGCCCACUGUAACUGAUGUAAAUCAGCUGAUAAAAAAAUGGACUCUAUGUGGGCUACCUGGAGGGUUCUUUUGUUUUGGGACUCUUGAAAGGCUUGGGCUUUGAUGAAUCCAAGCUCAAGGUGUAUAGUUCUACCGAUGAAUGCGACGAACUUUUCUCCAAAGGAAGUGGAAAUGGUGGCAUUGCCGCUGCUUUUGACGAAGUGCCGUACAUGAAGCUGUUUCUUGCACAAUAUUGCUCCAAGUACACAAUGAUUGAACCCACAUUUAAGACGGCUGGAUUCGGAUUUGCCUUCCCUAAAGGAUCUCCCCUAGUACCUGACGUGUCAAGAGCAAUCUUGAAUGUAACAGGAGAUAAAAUGAAGGAAAUUGAGCAAGCAUGGUUUGGCAAACAAAGAAAUUGCCCAGAUCCAAGCACCUCUGUUUCUUCUAAUAGCCUUAGUCUCCAAAGUUUCUGGGGUUUAUUUUUAAUAGCUGGAAUAGUUUCUGUUUCAGCUCUCAUGAUAUUCACAGCCAUGUUUGUCUACGACCAGACGCAAGCCUUGAUGCCCUCCGAUUCAAAAGCGUCAG
Molecule: unclassified non-coding RNA, 923 nt
Filed under: Hevea brasiliensis (rubber tree)
Lineage: Eukaryota; Viridiplantae; Streptophyta; Magnoliopsida; Malpighiales; Euphorbiaceae
Source: RNAcentral